Molecule: regulatory RNA element, 177 nt
Organism: Peptostreptococcus anaerobius CAG:621
Lineage: Bacteria; Bacillati; Bacillota; Clostridia; Peptostreptococcales; Peptostreptococcaceae
Rfam family: Lysine riboswitch aptamer
About the family: Riboswitches are metabolite binding domains within certain messenger RNAs that serve as precision sensors for their corresponding targets. Allosteric rearrangement of mRNA structure is mediated by ligand binding, and this results in modulation of gene expression.
Source: Rfam
UAAAAGGAUAGAGGCGCAAUCAACAUCAGUAAUAACAGACCAUGUAGGCAAACUGUCUGUUGUAAAAGGGGCGAUUGCCGAAAUUAGGGUCACACUGCCUUGUGAUUUUAGUUGGAACAUUGGUUAAUAGCCCUUGUUCUGUCAUUAUCUAGAUGAUAAUGGAGAGCUAACCGCAAA